This 260-nucleotide ribosomal RNA is filed under the name uncultured bacterium. Its description in RNAcentral is "partial 16S ribosomal RNA". It matches the Rfam family "Bacterial small subunit ribosomal RNA", at positions 526 to 779 of the family's 1533-position model. The record is from RNAcentral.
CGUAGGUGGCAAGCGUUGUCCGGAUUUAUUGGGCGUAAAAGGGAAACGCAGGCGGUCCUUUAAGUCUGAUGUGAAAGCCUUCGGCUUAACCGAAGAAUUGCAUUGGAAACUAGGAGGGACUUGAGUGCAGAAAGAGGAGAGUGGAACUCCAUGUGUAGCGGUGAAAAUGCGUAGAUAUAUGGAAGAACACCAGUGGCGAAAGCGGCUCUCUGGCCUGUAACUGACGCUGAGGUUCGAAAGUGUGGGUAGCAAACAGGAUU